Long non-coding RNA from Bacillus rossius redtenbacheri, 3183 nucleotides. RefSeq lists it as uncharacterized. Lineage: Eukaryota; Metazoa; Arthropoda; Insecta; Phasmatodea; Bacillidae. The record is from RefSeq and is a predicted model, not a curated record. The transcript has 2 exons.
CCAUGUGUCUGUGUAACUGUUGCUAACAAACAUUGCAUUAUUGAUCAAAAAAUUGUUGACCAAUGUUAUUUUAUAUUUUUUUAAGAGUAAAACAAAUGUACACAAAUAUUUCCUUGUUACUAAUUAUGAGAUUUUCAGGUAGCGUGUGGAGAUUUCAUCUUAUGUUCAUGAGCGCACAACGUAUAAAAUCAUAAAUGUUUUCUGUUGGUGUGUAGCAGUUAACCGCAUUUAAGUAAAAAUAUUUUAAAAUAAUUUUUACCAGAGCUGAAUUACAUUCAGGUGAGUGCACUUAAUAUAAUUUGGGGUAUUGCAGGAAAAAUUAUAAAUUCCUAAAGUGUUUUUUCCUGACAUGUUUAAAAUUAUUAUUCUCUAUGAGGGUUGUUUGAUACUGCAAGUAGUUUAUCAUGUUUAACAUGUGGAUAGGUUAGGAUUAUUUAUUACAAAUCUGUAAUAUUGAGAUACUGCCCUUGGGUUAGCUGGAUUAAAAAUACAGUGAAAUUUGUUAGGUUAGUAACAUUAUACGUACAGUGAUUCUAAGUACAGUGGAAUUUAUAUUUGGUUAGCUUCGGAUAGCGCCAAUUAAAAAUUCUGUAAAAUCAAUUGAACGGUUGGAUGUUACUAACUUAAUCUAACCAACCAAUAUACAUUUUACAGUGAUUUUUUAAUUUAUCAUCUCACGUUGCUGCUUUUUGUAUGCAAAAUAAACUUUGGACACUUUUUUUUAAACUUUAAAUAUGUACCUGUAUUUACUCUGAAAAAAGUUUUUCUAAAUUCAGACUGGGUUUUGAGAAAUCACUGUUUAUAGGUUACAUUACAUUACCUGUGCAGUAAAGGGCCUGUCACCAUGUUGUUCUUUAAUUGAGUUGCUGAUCCUGUUUUUUUUUAUACACAAAUUGUAUAUUUUUUAUUUGGAUAUUGCAAUGCAUAAACGUAAAUUAACACAUUAAAAAAGUUAUGUGACUCCUUAUUGUGCAUUCCAAACCCAAAGCAUCAGUCCUUGAGAGCAAUAUUUUUUAAUAACCUGACAUAUAAAAUAAAUUUUCAUUUUGUAACAAAUGAUUCCUUUUAUAUGUCAGGUUACGUGCUAUUGCAGGUAACUAAUCUGCGCUUUGCGCCUCCAUACUGCUAUAAAAAAUCCCUGUCAAGGGUUGGCGUUUUGGUUUGGAUACACAUUAGAGACUCGUAACUUUUUUUAAACUAUUAUUUAUGUUUCAUUAGGUUAUAAUAUUCAAAUAAAAAAUAUAUACAUUCUUAUAUAUAUGGAAAACCACAGGAUCUGCAAUGCAAUUAGAGGGAAAAAUGGCGACAGCUACUUCACUGCAUAAGCUAUCUAGUGUGACCUGCAAAAUGUGAUUUCUUGAAAACCAGUAGGAAUUAAGAAAAACUGUUUACAGUUUUAAUAGAGGAAGGUUUUUAGCGUCUGAAAAGGUAUUUUCAAAAUUUUAUAAUUUAAUUUAUGGAUAAGCAGCAACAAAAGAAAAUUACCUUUUUUUAAAUUUAGCUAACCAACCAUUCACAUGAUUUUACAAAUUUUGUAUUGUUUAUACUUACCUGCUUUAACAUUAAACUACUGUUAAACAAUUUAUUUCAAUUUUUUAAAAAUAUCUUUGGGAAUUAGCGCAGUAUAAUUGAAGACGUUUACUGUAUAAUACAGUAAUUGAUGAUUGAUUUACUUUAUUGAUGCACAACGAAGUUGUAUAAUUGUUGGAUUGGUUAAGCAAAUUCAAGCAUCAAGGGUACUGAUCAAUGGUUUUUAACAUUAUGUUUUCUUAAUGAGUCCAUUGGUAAAACGUUAAAACACUGGAAUGGCUAAAUUUCCAUUGACUGCUUAUGUUUUUUUCCGCAUGCUCACUUGAAAACAAUUACAGGGUUAUACUGUAGUUCACAGUUGCAAUACUUGGUUAGGUUAGUUACAUAAGUGCUGUUAAAUCAUGAAAAUGGUUAGGGAAAGGUAACUUCUUCAUAACUACUGUAAAAUGGUGUAAGCAAUUAUUCUUUAGGUAAGUUUUACCUAGACUUUAAAAAAUAAUUUAUUUGGCGAAGUACAUAGUACUAAGAAUUACUAUUUAUCAAAUUUGGUUUGUGUGGAAAAGUUGUUACUCUAGGAAAUUUCUGAAUCCAUCUUUGUGGGAAUAUAAACUAAUAUUAUUAGAAACAAAAAAAAAAAACAAUGUGUGGUAUAUUUUAAUUUUCUAACACCCUCUGAACUCUGCAGUUAUGCGAUUACCGAUAAUAAUUGUAAAUCAUUGCAAUAUACAUCCGACACAUCUUGUAGUGAUUUCACAACUGUACUAUGAAGUAAUGCCAUCGACUGCUGCAAAAUAACAUGCUGACAUCUAUUCUCGUGUAGGCAUUUUGUUGAUACGACUAAAAUAUGACCAUAUAGGAUAUAUAUAUAGAAUCUUACAAAUUUUGAUAACCUACCUACUAAUACUCUCCCCGAAGACUUUGGUUAUGCAUUACGUGAAAUUAAUUCAACUUGUAAACAUUUUGCUUGAGUCAAAGCCUAGAUUUGCUUAAGCUAAUAACAAGCAAUUACAUCACUUGAGGCCCUGAGAAACAUACUUCUGAAAUUGUGUAGUUACUUGGAUUGUUAAAUACCUAGUUUUUCUGCAAUAAUGGGCACAAGAGCAAUAGAAUUAUGUUUUUCAUAUAAUUUUUUUCACAUAAAUGAGUUUUUGUCAAAAAGUAUUUGGAAAAAAAUAUCUGUUAGUGUUUGAAAGGACAAAGAAAAAUGUUAAUUGUAGUACAUAAAUGAGAAUUUACCAAAAUAUUGAAAGUGUCAAAUUUCUAACUAAAAUGGUUUUGAAAUUAAUUUAUCAUUCUCGUAUGCAUAACUUUUUUCUUUGAUACAUUUAUUUAUCAGUUUCAUUUCUCUUUAGUACAAUAUCUAUCAUUUAACUUUGAUUUAUUUUUUGUUUCAGGCUUGUGGAGAACAGCUUUUUUUUAUCUACUGUUUGGCUGGCCAAUGUAAAUAAACAAUGAUUUCAUGAAUGCAGCGAGAGAGUUUAUUUGAUGUAUUUUAAAAUCACUGAUAUUUAUUGAUGUAUUUUAAAAUCACUGAUAAUAUUUAUUGAUGUAUUUUAAAAUUACUGAUAAUAUUUGUUUUGUGGCUGGAAGAUGGUAACCAUGGUGACUUGUGAAUUUUUAUGAAGAUUAAUAAAAAGCAGUAAAAAUUAUUAA